RNAcentral lists this ribosomal RNA (494 nucleotides) under uncultured Oscillibacter sp. RNAcentral's name for it is "bacterial SSU rRNA". It matches the Rfam family "Bacterial small subunit ribosomal RNA", at positions 21 to 507 of the family's 1533-position model. The record is from RNAcentral. Lineage: Bacteria; Bacillati; Bacillota; Clostridia; Eubacteriales; Oscillospiraceae.
CGUACAGGAGUAACGCGUGGCGGCGUGCGUUAACACAUGCAAGCGAACGGGGACGACCCUUGAAAGAGAUUACGGUCAAUGGAAUAGGAAGUGCUUAGUGGCGGACGGGUGGAGUAACGCGUGAGUAACCUGCCUUUCAGAGGGGACGAACAAGUUGGAAACGACUAGCUAAUACCGCAUAACAUAUAGGUGCCGCAUGGCACUUAUAUCAAAGAUUUAUCGCUGAGAGAUGGACUCGCGUCUGAUUAGCUAGUUGUGGGGUAAGGCCCACCAAGGCGACGAUCAGUAGCCGGACUGAGAGGUUGGCCGGCCACAUUGGGACUGAGAUACGGCCCAGACUCCUACGGGAGGCAGCAGUGGGGAAUAUUGGGCAAUGGGCGCAAGCCUGACCCAGCAACGCCGCGUGAAGGAAGAAGGCUUUCGGGUUGUAAACUUCUUUUGACAGGGAAGAGCAGAAGACGGCACCUGUCGAAUAAGCCACGGCUAACUACGUG